Molecule: ribosomal RNA, 528 nt
Filed under: Triticum aestivum (bread wheat)
Lineage: Eukaryota; Viridiplantae; Streptophyta; Magnoliopsida; Poales; Poaceae
Description: partial small subunit ribosomal RNA
Source: RNAcentral
AUGGACGACGGGGCGGCGGAGGCCGAAGCGCUGCGGCUCCGUCUGGCCGCCGUCGCCAGGAAGUGGCUGGAGGACCCGCGCGCGGACUACGCCGGCAAAAUCACCGACGCGGCCAGCCAAAAGGGGCACGCGCUCAACUCGCUGGUGCUGGCCGGCGCACGCAUCUCCCUCUCCGAGCACGGCCGCGUCGUGUGCUCGUUCCACGUGCCGCCGCCGCUCACCGACUCUGACGGGACGUGGCACGCGGGGGCGCUGGCGGCGGCGGCGGACAACAUGUGCUCGGCGGUGGUCUUCACGGUGGUGGGCGCGCCCACGUCCACCGUCCACUACGGCCUGUCCUACUUCUCGCCCGUCGCGUGCAACGAGGAGGUUCAGUUGGACGGGCGGGUGGUGGGCCGGAAAGGGAAGCUCACGGCCGCCGUGGUGCGGGUGCGGAAGAUGGGAUCCGGCGAGCUGGUGGCGAUAGGGAGGCAGUGGAUGACCCCUGCCUGGCCAACGAAGAGCAACAAAAGUAGGAGCAAGCUCUGA